GACGCGGACCCGGCGCAG
RNAcentral lists this unclassified non-coding RNA (18 nucleotides) under Chlamydomonas reinhardtii. RNAcentral describes it as "small RNA Cre_1584". The record is from RNAcentral. Lineage: Eukaryota; Viridiplantae; Chlorophyta; Chlorophyceae; Chlamydomonadales; Chlamydomonadaceae.